GCCGUCGUGGAUCAAGGCAGUUCGCCCUCUUUCUGUGAGCGAGUGGCUCUCAAAAUUUGUCAGAGGGAGGUGGCAGUUCGAAUCUGCCCGACGGCA
Mycena capillaripes is the source of this 96-nucleotide non-coding RNA. The record is from the annotation of a GenBank genome assembly. Lineage: Eukaryota; Fungi; Basidiomycota; Agaricomycetes; Agaricales; Mycenaceae.